UCUUCAUUUGAGUCUUCAUUUGCGUUCUUUAUAAUAAACUAUAAUAGUGAGUGUAGCAUUUUCCUCAUUUCCAUGCUUCGUUCUAGCCAGUUGUAUAACCUGAAGCAGAGUGGUUGUGGGAUCCUCCAAGUUUGUAUCCAAAUCAGGUGGAAGUAACCUGGAUACCCGCUACUUGAGACUGGCAUCUGAAGGGAAGGAGUCUUGUGGGAUUGACUCCUGCAGCAUCUGGAGUCUGAUGCUCCAGACUCCAGUCAGUGUCAGGAUUAACUUGAAUAGUAAGACACCUAGUUGGUGUGAGAGUUGGAGAAGUGGUAUUGGAAAAGCCACUGUGAAUUUGAUUUCAAAAAAAAAAAUUCAUUAUUUUUGUUUUGUUUCCAAUUAGUAUAAAACUGGUUGAUGUCUAACAUAGCAUGGACAGAAAUUAUUUACAUGUCUGCUUGACAUAACAGCUUCACAGAUUCUGGUCCCUAAUUUAUGGUAAAUGGCGAAUCAAACACAGAAGCACUCACCCAGAGCACUAAAUAGUCUUUGAGCAGAACUGUUAAACACCGAAAGAACAGGCUACCCUACCCUUACCUUAUUUUAGAUCACUUUUCAUACUAUGUAGGCCAGAAUCAACAUUACUCUGCCUUACAGGGACUGUUUUUUAUUUCAGAACAAUUACAAUAAUGAUAUCAAUGAACAUGGAUAGAGAAUAUACUGUGGGCCAGAUACUCUCCCAGAUGGUUUACCAAUAUUUUAUUUAUUCCUUCCAAUAAUGCUACAAAGUAAGCAAUUUUUAUUGUGCACCUUUUAUAUGAAAGGAACAUGAAGAUCAUUUUGUCCAAAAUCAUGAAAUAGCUUGUGGACAUAGAGACACUGCCUUUGUGGAGGGUAGGAUGUCAGAAAGAAGAGAGAAGGAGGCUGUUGAGUGGAACUCUAAUGGUACAGAACAGUGACCUGUGGUGUUUUCAAGUUACCUUGACUUAUGGACGUAGGUCCAUGGAUAUGAACUCUGAAUUGCAUAAUCAGGCUGAAUCUUAACAGUUACUAACAGUGAGUUAUCAAAGCUGAGUAACAUUCAACAACAUUAUACAUUAUUGGGUCACCUUACUUCUGUCAAGGCAUAGGUGAGGAGAGAUAUUUCUGAUGAAAAACUUGAGACACCUUCUAAAGGUCUGGGGUUUGCAAAACAAAAAAAGAUUAUUUAUUUAUAAAGACACAAGCUAGAUAAUGAUGGCAGAAAGCUGUGGUUAUCAAAGCCAAAUUGUAAUCAGAGACUGGAUAUCACAUUGUCUUAGAGAGUUUUAUGAUAAAGACUAUAUUUCCUUUAUGUAAAACACACUUAAGAAAUAAUAUAAGUUUUAAGCACACAAUGGGAAAUAACUAAGAGCUUCCAGGGACAAUGUAUCUUCAAUAUAAGUGUCUGAAAGUUAAUCCGCCAUUUCAGACCAUCCUGAAUUUCAAAAGGGGCUUGUUUUAGAACAAGUGAGAGGAGUUUCCUUCUUCAUCUAGAGCUUCAGUUUCCAAAGCAGUAAUGUAUUUAAGAUAAUACCUUCACCAGUGCAUGUAAAUCCUGAGCCCAUGUCUCGAGAGAAGGUUGUUAAGUAAACUCUUGUCUCCUUGGAAGACUUGAGGAUGACAGGAGAGAGCAUCACCUGUUUAAGACUAAGAGUUUGCUACUCUUGUUAAUUAUCUCCUUACCCAGUGUUAGGGUGAGAAAGGAACAGAACUGCAUAAUUUCUGUCCUUUAUACCAUCUAAAAACUCUUCUCUUAGAAUGGAUGAAAAUUACACAAGCACAUGUAGUCGUGGAAAUUUCAUUACUCAUACCAGCUUCAUUCACCAUCAGAGAAAUUAUUUUAAAACAUGUUGAGCUAAAAAAUGGUAAACUAGUCCUAUAAAAUUUUGGAAGAAUAAAAAAUUCUAACCAGAAAAUUAAGCCUAAUAUACAGGAGAAAGCUAAACAAUGACAACAACAACAAAAACACAGAAUGAACAUUAUCUCCAAGCAAAUGUAAGACAUGAAUAAAAAUGCACAA
Molecule: non-coding RNA, 2020 nt
Organism: Macaca mulatta (Rhesus monkey)
Lineage: Eukaryota; Metazoa; Chordata; Mammalia; Primates; Cercopithecidae
Source: RefSeq, a predicted model, not a curated record